GGAUUAGAUACCCUGGUAGUCUACGCCGUAAACGAUGUGCACUUGAUGGCGGUCCCGUUCGGGAUCGCUGUCGGAGCUAACGCAUUAAGUGCACCGCCUGGGGAGUACGCCGGCAACGGUUAAACUCAAAGGAAUUGACGGGGGCCCGCACAAGCGGUGGAGCAUGUGGUUUAAUUCGAUGAUACGCGAGGAACCUUACCAGGGCUUGACAUAGACGUGGCGUUCGUGGAGACACGGAUUUCCUUUCGGGGACGCGUUUACAGGUGUUGCAUGGCUGUCGUCAGCUCGUGCCG
This 293-nucleotide ribosomal RNA is filed under the name uncultured bacterium. Its description in RNAcentral is "partial 16S ribosomal RNA". It matches the Rfam family "Bacterial small subunit ribosomal RNA", at positions 775 to 1067 of the family's 1533-position model. The record is from RNAcentral.